This 253-nucleotide ribosomal RNA is filed under the name uncultured bacterium. Its description in RNAcentral is "partial 16S ribosomal RNA". It matches the Rfam family "Bacterial small subunit ribosomal RNA", at positions 524 to 776 of the family's 1533-position model. The record is from RNAcentral.
UACGUAGGCAGCAAGCGUUGUUCGGAGUUACUGGGCGUAAAGGGUGUGUAGGCGGCUUCGUAAGUUCGGUGUGAAAUCUCCUGGCUUAACUGGGAGGGUGCGCCGGAAACUGCGGAGCUGGAGCGCAGGAGAGGAAAGCAGAAUUCCUGGUGUAGCGGUGAAAUGCGUAGAUAUCAGGAGGAAUACCGGUGGUGAAGGCGGCUUUCUGGACUGCUGCUGACGCUGAUACACGAAAGCGUGGGGAGCAAACAGG